GGGGAUUUAGCUCAGUGGUAGAGCGCGCCUAGGAAGCGCAAGGCCCUGGGUUCGGUCCCCAGCUCCG
Molecule: non-coding RNA, 67 nt
Organism: Rattus norvegicus (Norway rat)
Lineage: Eukaryota; Metazoa; Chordata; Mammalia; Rodentia; Muridae
Source: Rfam